This 425-nucleotide ribosomal RNA is filed under the name uncultured bacterium. Its description in RNAcentral is "bacterial SSU rRNA". It matches the Rfam family "Bacterial small subunit ribosomal RNA", at positions 29 to 440 of the family's 1533-position model. The record is from RNAcentral.
AACGAACGCUGGCGGCGUGCCUAACACAUGCAAGUCGUGCGAGAAAGUUCCUUCGGGAGCGAGUAAAGCGGCGCACGGGUGAGUAACACGUAGGUAACCUGCCCCCCAGUCUGGAACAACUAGAGGAAACUCUAGCUAAUGCCGGAUGAGACCACGAUCCCUUCGGGGUUACGGCCAAAGAUGGCCUCUACUUGUAAGCUAUCGCUGAGGGAUGGGCCUGCGGGCCAUUAGCUUGUUGGUGAGGUAACGGCUCACCAAGGCUGUGAUGGCUAGCUGGUCUGAGAGGAUGACCAGCCACACUGGGACUGAGACACGGCCCAGACUCCUACGGGAGGCAGCAGUGGGGAAUAUUGCGCAAUGGGCGAAAGCCUGACGCAGCGACGCCGCGUGGGUGAUGAAGGCCUCGGUCGGUAAGACCGUCGUCG